RNAcentral lists this ribosomal RNA (577 nucleotides) under uncultured Clostridia bacterium. RNAcentral describes it as "bacterial SSU rRNA". It matches the Rfam family "Bacterial small subunit ribosomal RNA", at positions 956 to 1532 of the family's 1533-position model. The record is from RNAcentral. Lineage: Bacteria; Bacillati; Bacillota; Clostridia.
GCAACGCGAAGAACCUUACCAAGUCUUGACAUCCCUUCGAACAAUGCGUAAAAGUAUUAGCUCUUCGGAGCGAAGGAGACAGGUGGUGCAUGGUUGUCGUCAGCUCGUGUCGUGAGAUGUUGGGUCAAGUCCCGCAACGAGCGCAACCCUUAUGGUCAGUAGCCAGCAGGCAAAGCUGGGCACUCUGGCCAGACUGCCCGGGAUAACCGGGAGGAAGGUGGGGAUGACGUCAAAUCAUCAUGCCCCUUAUGAUUUGGGCAACACACGUGCUACAAUGGCGUAAACAAAGGGAAGCGAAGGAGCGAUCCGGAGCGAAACCCAAAAAUAACGUCCCAGUUCGGACUGUAGUCUGCAACCCGACUACACGAAGCUGGAAUUGCUAGUAAUCGCGAAUCAGCAUGUCGCGGUGAAUACGUUCCCGGGUCUUGUACACACCGCCCGUCACACCAUGGGAGUCAGUAACGCCCGAAAUCGGUGACCUAACCGCAAGGAAGGAGCCGCUGAAGGCGGGACGGAUAACUGGGGUGAAGUCGUAACAAGGUAGCCGUAUCGGAAGGUGCGGCUGGAUCACCUCCUU